RNAcentral lists this unclassified non-coding RNA (568 nucleotides) under Hevea brasiliensis (rubber tree). The record is from RNAcentral. Lineage: Eukaryota; Viridiplantae; Streptophyta; Magnoliopsida; Malpighiales; Euphorbiaceae.
UACAGUCCUUCAGCAUCAGAUGGUGCUGCCGCAGAUAAAGGGCCCUCUACUUCUACUCCACCUCCCCCACCCGAGAAGGAUGUGGUUGAGGAAAAAGUUAGUUCACCUGAACCAAAGAUUUCCAAACCCAGUGCAACUCCUUCUGAAGAUCGCAUUUUUGCUAGUCCUCUUGCAAGAAAAUUGGCUGAAGAUCACAAUGUACCUCUCUCAAGCAUUAAAGGAACAGGUCUUGAUGGACACAUUGUAAAGGCUGAUAUAGAAGAUUUCUUGGCAUCACGUAGGAAGGAGCGCGAAGUUUCAGCAACAGCACCUAAAGCCAAGGACACAACACCUGCUGCAUUAGAUUAUGUUGACAUUCCUCAUUCUCAAAUAAGAAAGGUUACAGCUUCACGCUUAUUAUUAUCAAAGCAAACAAUCCCUCAUUAUUAUUUAACAGUAGAUACAUGUGUUGACAAACUUAUGGAUUUGCGGAGCAAACUAAAUUCAUUACAAGAGGCCUCAGGUGGGAAGCGGAUAUCUGUAAAUGAUCUUGUAAUCAAGGCUGCUGCUUUGGCUCUUAAAAAAGUUC